Molecule: ribosomal RNA, 271 nt
Filed under: uncultured prokaryote
Description: partial 16S ribosomal RNA
Rfam family: Bacterial small subunit ribosomal RNA
Source: RNAcentral
GACGGAGGGGGCGAGCGUUGUUCGGAAUUACUGGGCGUAAAGCGCGCGUAGGCGGCGCGUUCAGUGCAUCGUGAAAGCCCUCGGGCUUAACCGGGGAAGGGCGGUGGCAAACUGGCGGGCUAGAGUGCUGGAGGGGGAGGCGGAAUUCCUGGUGGAGCGGUGAAAUGCGUAGAGAUCAGGAAGAACGUCGGUGGCGAAGGCGGCCUCCUGGACAGACACUGACGCUGAGGUGCGACAGCGUGGGGAGCGAACGGGAUUAGAUACCCCCGUA